Molecule: ribosomal RNA, 301 nt
Filed under: uncultured bacterium
Lineage: Bacteria
Description: partial 16S ribosomal RNA
Rfam family: Bacterial small subunit ribosomal RNA
Source: RNAcentral
CAGCAGCCACGGUAAUACAGAGGGUGCGAGCGUUAAUCGGAUUUACUGGGCGUAAAGCGUGCGUAGGCGGCUUCUUAAGUCGGAUGUGAAAUCCCUGAGCUUAACUUAGGAAUUGCAUUCGAUACUGGGAAGCUAGAGUAUGGGAGAGGAUGGUAGAAUUCCAGGUGUAGCGGUGAAAUGCGUAGAGAUCUGGAGGAAUACCGAUGGCGAAGGCAGCCAUCUGGCCUAAUACUGACGCUGAGGUACGAAAGCAUGGGGAGCAAACAGGAUUAGAUACCCCGGUAGUCCCUGUCUCUUAUAA